UAGCUUAGUGGUAGAGUAUUGGUAUGUAAAGUCAGGAGUCCGGGUUCGAUUCCCGG
RNAcentral lists this transfer RNA (56 nucleotides) under Agrilus planipennis (emerald ash borer). It matches the Rfam family "tRNA", at positions 8 to 63 of the family's 71-position model. From Rfam's summary of the family: Transfer RNA (tRNA) molecules are approximately 80 nucleotides in length. Their secondary structure includes four short double-helical elements and three loops (D, anti-codon, and T loops). Lineage: Eukaryota; Metazoa; Arthropoda; Insecta; Coleoptera; Buprestidae. The record is from Rfam by way of RNAcentral.